CACAUUUCACAAAAUGGUCAGAUGCCAAUGCAAAUUAAUGACAUGUGGUCAACGGGCUGAUGGGCACGGCUGUGGGACCCCAUCAUUCCCCUGCCCCGCAUGACUCUGCUCUCCCAGCUCGACUGCUCACUUCAGACUUCCCUUAUGGAAGGAGUUGCCAGAUAGAGCAAGUAAAAUACAGUGUGCCAGACACAGGUUUAUUUCAACACUGGGAAGGCUCCAUUCCUACUUAAACCCAGCAGGGAACAGGGAGCGGUGUGCAGAGGAGGUGGCCUGCCCGGGAAGCCGGCCUUGGUGCUGGGACUGCAGGGAGAGGGCUGUGAGGAAGAGCACAGGCUUCAUGCACAUUGCACAGAGGAGGAGAUUCAUGGGGACAGCAGGCACUGGUUAGGCACAGCGGGAAGGUUAUCGAAGACAAAACACAUUUCUACCCAAGUUUAAAUGACCUGCUAUGCCCACAGAGCUUGAUCCAGAAGUGCACAGUAGAGACGGGGUUUCACCAUGUUAGCCAGGAUGGUCUCGAUCUCCUGACCUCGUGAUCUGCCCGCCUCAGCCUCCCAAAGUGCUGGGAUUACAGGAGUGAGCCACCGCUCCCGGCCCAGAACUUUUAAUAAAUAUAAAUACACAGGUAAUUUUAACACAUAUUCCUGAUGAAAUCAUUAUUAUCUGCAAUGCUUUCAUUCUGCUUUUUCUCUUAACAAUGGCAUAAACAUUUUUCAAGGUCAAUAAAUGUUUUUCAAAAUCGCAUUUGUAUUAGUGGCUGUAUAGUUUUCUAUCAAAUGUGGAAUAAACUCAAUUUAUUUCUCCCUUUUGUUCUUGAACAUUUAAGAUCAUUGGUUCAUAGUUACUAAUCAUGUUACAACAAAUAUUCAUGUAUUCCAAAUUUUGCUCAUUCCUGAUUAUUUCCUUAGAUUUCCAGGUAUGGAAUAAUUAGGUUGAAGUGUUUGAAAUCUUUUUUUGUUGGUUUGUUUGUUUUUGAGAUGUAGCUUCCCUCUGUUGCCCCGGCUGGAGUGCACUGGCAUGAUCUCAGCUCACUCACUGCAACCUCUGCUGCCUGGUUCAAGCGAUUCUCCUGCCUCAGCCUCCUGAAUAGCUGGGGUUACAGGUGCGCACCACCACGCCCGGCUAAUUUUUGUAUUUUUAGUAGAGACAGGGUUUCAUCAUGUUGGCCAGGUGGGUCUCAAACUCCUGACCUCAGGUGGUCCUUCUGCCUUGGCCUCCCAAAGUGCUGGGAUUACAGGCGUGAGCCACUGCGCCCGGCCGAAGUGUUUGAAAUCUUUAAGCAUCCUGGUAAAUAUUGAGUUUUGUCAAUAUUUAGAAAAGUUGCAUGAUUGACAUCGCUUCCACCCAUGUUUCAGAGCAUCUGAUUUGUCAGACCCUCACCAAAAAUGGGCUUUUAUCAAAAUGUAAUAAAAAAUAAAUACAACUUUUCCAAUGACAAAACUGGUUUCUCAUUUUUUUGAUACAUGUUUCUUGAAUUCUAGAGAGAUUGAAUAUUAUGAAUAUGUUUUCUGUUAUAUCUUUUAUAUUAAUAUAAAUGUUAUAUAUUUACAUAUUUUUAAUGAGUUGGCAAUUAUGCCCUGGCUUCAUUUUUUUUCUCAUGGGAGUUAUCUUUUUUACUUACUGAUUGUUAAAAUAAUCAAAUAUUCUAGAAAAUAAAUGUUUUGUUUUUCAUGCAUAGUGCAAGUAUUUCAUUUGGACUUUUCAUUUGUUUGUAAUUUUGUUAAUUGAAGUUUGGCAUCUAGAGAUUUUACACUUUUAGGUAUAAAAGUUGUGACUGUUUUCCUUAUUGUUU
This 1795-nucleotide long non-coding RNA is filed under the name Homo sapiens (human). RNAcentral's name for it is "HSALNT0338554". Lineage: Eukaryota; Metazoa; Chordata; Mammalia; Primates; Hominidae. The record is from RNAcentral.